Ailuropoda melanoleuca (giant panda) is the source of this 3668-nucleotide RNA transcript. It is a transcript of the gene named alpha-fetoprotein, with no coding region annotated. The transcript is spliced from 14 exons. NCBI's taxonomy places the organism in Eukaryota, Metazoa, Chordata, Mammalia, Carnivora, Ursidae. The record is from RefSeq and is a predicted model, not a curated record.
UUCUUUUAAGGUUCAUCUGGAACAAUGAAGACUCUUAGACCCAUAUGUUUUCUUGUUUUCUUCAGCUACGUUCAAUGUCAAACUCUUCAGAGAAGUUUACUAGCUGCAGCCUUGCGCCACAUUAAUAGCCCGAAUUAUCUGCAGGAGAACUUAAGGGACAUCACCAGCAUUAUGGUUGCUCAGUUUCUUCAGAAACUAACUUAUGAAGAAGUACAAACCAUAGUUGAAGAGUUGGUAGAUCUCGCAGAGAAGUGCAAGAUCCUCAAGGCACAUGAGUCACCGUCAGAAUGCUCUCACCAAUUGAUGACUACCUUCCUAGAGCACAUUUGUGAUAACCAAGGAAAGGCUGGCAAACAGGAGUUUUCUGACUGUUGCAAUAUAAAUAACAAAGCAAGACUCAAGUGCUUCCUAUUACACAAAAAAGGUGAUGCAGAUUACAGUGAUGUAUUCCAAAUUCCGAAUCCUGAGCGGAUCUGUGAGAUGGACAAAGAGAAUCAAGUGCCAGCGAAGGAGAGGUACAUUUAUGAAACAUCUCGAAAGUAUCCAUUCUUGUAUGGACCCACUAUUCUGACCAUGUCUGCUUGUUAUGAAACCACUAUUCGGUCAUGUUGCCAAGAAGAAAAUAAAACUGAAUGCUUCCAGAUAAAGCUAGAACCCAUCAGAAAAUACAUUAGAGAAAUAUCUUUGAGGCAUCACCAUUUAUGUGAAAUUGGGAUUAAAUUCAACCACAAAGUAGCAAAAGCAGUGGAAUUGGUUCUGCUGACUAAAAAACAACCGAAAGCUAACUUUUCUGAAAUUGCCAGGCUGGCCGUGGAUAUUAAAAAUCUGCAUCAGACGUGUUGUGAAGGAGAUGUAGUCGCAUGCGUACUUGGCAGGAGCCAGAUUAUGAACUACACCUGUUCCAAACAUUCGAUCCUCUCCAGCAAAAUCAGUCCGUGCUGUGCACUGCCGGUACCGUUCCGAGGGGAAUGCAUUAUCAUCUCAGAAAAUGACGAUAAGCCUGAUCUUUCAUUCAUGCCACUCGGCAGGUUUACAGAAGACCGAUCUGUAUGCAAACAAUUCUCCAAUGAGCCAGAUGAUCUCCUGCAAGAGUUUCUUUAUGAAUAUUCAAGAAGACAUUCAGAAUUGGCAGUUCCUGUGAUUUUAAGAGUGGAUACUGUAUAUCAAAAUUUAUUGGCAAAAUGCUGUAAAUUAGAAAAUCCUCUGGAAUGCUAUAGCAAUGGGCAAGAGAUGUUCCGAAGAGUGAUUCGUGAAAGCCAUGAGCGUGUAAAACAUCACUGUGAUUUACAUGAGAAAUUAGGAAAUGCUAACUUCCAUGACAGGCUCAUAAUCCUUUAUACUAAGAAAGCUCCCCAACUAUCUGCUCAAGAGUUGGUUACGUUCACGAAGAACAUGGCAGCCGCUGCCACCAAAUGCUGCCCACUGAGAGAUGAGCAACAGUUUGCCUGCAUGGAGGACUCAGCAAAACUAAUUCUUGGAGCUUUAUGCAGAAGACAUGAGGCAGAGCCUAUCAAUGCUGGUGUGGGCCACUGCUGUGAUGACUCAUAUGCCUUCAGGAAGCCAUGCUUUGAUGAUCUGCAAGUGGAUGGAACUUACAUUUCUCCGCCUUUAUCCUGUGACCAAGUCAUCAACCUUAAAGAGAACUUGUGCAAAGCACAGGAGGAGGAAUUCCAAACUGAAAAACAAAAUAUUUUUACCACGAUUGCACUGGGAUUUUGAGAUGAGAGACGAUACAUUUUAAAAAGACACUGGCGAAUUGUUAUGUCCAGAGAGUAUUUAGAGCGAAAAAAGGAUUGAGAAGCAUGUCACAGGGAUAUGGAGAAAUUGACUGGGGUCCAAACUGAUUGAAAAGUGCCAGUCUCUCUUGGGAAGCAAAUGAUUCCAGAAAAUGUCAACAUAGAGUCUUUGCUGAGAUCUGCCUUUUAUUUUUCAUGACUAAUGAAACCCAUGUCUAAUGUUCAAAAUACAAAUCAACAACAUCAUUUUACAGCCACUUUAUGAGUGGCUCAAGGGUCCUCGCCAGGCUAUACUAAAUCUCCCCUUUUCUACUUAGCAGAGAAAUCUACUUAUCGUAACCCCAAUACAACAAGUUUACAUUCUUCCUUUCUCCCAGAAGCUUUCAGCUUCUCAGAAGCAGGACCAGAAAUAUGAAAUCAAGGGGCCUUUCAACACUUCAGGUAGAUGCAAUGAGCUGCCACAUCUCGCUGGGAACAGGCUGCUGGGUUUCCAGAGUGAAAAAGACCCAAGUGUAGCUUUGAAGUUUCUGUCUAUCCCACUGCUGAAAAUGAUUAUUGAUGCACUGAAUGGAAUGUGCUUUAUAUUGAGUUACCUUUAUAACUGCCUUGACUUUUUUUUUUUUUUUGGAAGAAGUGUGGAACUGGGAAGGUGCUUGGAACCACUAUUCAUUCAUCCAAUAGAUUUUUAGUGGGUGUCUGCCGUGUACGAGGCAUGGUUCUAGGAGCUUGUGACACAUCAGAGGCCAAACAGAACAGAACAAAAUCCUUAUCUUCAUAAAGUUAACCUUCCAGUGGAGCUUGGUGAAAACAUGUCUUUCCUUCUUUUUGUCUCUUUCUCUCACCAUCAGUUAGACUUGAACUAAUCAGGACUUUGCCUCGUGCCUAUGGCAUUGAACACAUUAUGAAAUCAAGAAAAUAUUUAACAUCCUGUUUGCCAAGAGUCUUUGAGUUACUAGCAAAGCUCCAAAAGGUCAGGACUGAGGUGAGCAGUAGGUCCCGUGGGCCGUACAUUGUCUCCUACGUGCCAGAUAAGUCUGCUUUUGCAAUAGCCGGUGUCCUAAGACACAUAGUUAGACUUAACUUCCGGCUUGUAGUUGUCGCUGGCAUGAGAAGUAACAGCUGGCAUGUGCUAUGUGCCAGAUAUUCUUGUAAGUUUUUACCUGGAAAAACUCAAUCGAUCCUCAUCAUGAUCUAAUGAUGAUCUAAUUAUUAACCUUCCCAGUCUACAGACCAAGACAUUGUGCACAGAGAGGUUAAGUAACUUGCUCAAGUAUUCUCAGGUGGCUUGGAACCAGGAUUUGAAUCUAGAUCAUUCAUCUCCAGAAACUGGGCUCUUCACUAGUGCAUUAGUGCUCCUUUGUCAUGUCAAGGAACAUCAUUAUCUGAAAACUCAACGCCAGAGAAAUCUUCCUGAAGCACUCAUUGCAAAUGGUGGCAGUUUUCUCUUCACAGUAUUGAGAAGACAAUGGCUAAUUCCUUCUGUGAACAGUUAACUAAAUAUCUAGUGCUGUCUCUGUUAACCAUUGUCUCUGCAACUUAAAGCCUUAGCCUUGGAAGAAUUCCUCACAUGUUCAUUCAAUUUCUCAUUCUCUCCUAUCCAUCUCAUUCUCUCUCUCAUCUCUCUUUUCCCUGAUAUAGAUUUGUGAAUUCCUUUUUGUAUGUGUGCUCUCUUCUUUAAAUUUUUUAAUUGACCUCUAACCCCCUUUACCCAUUUUUCCCAUCCCUCCACCUUUAACCUUUACCCUAUAUAUGUGAUGCUGACAUUGGAACCCAAUGGGGGCCCUAAUGUUUAUUAACUCAAGCUUUCAGUGAUGAUUUGUAAUAGUAGUCUUCUCCCCAGAAAUCUUGGCAUAUAUGACAUAAUGAACUUAUCAUUUGGACUUACUAUUAUUUUUCCAGAUAAUUUAGUGUAUAAUAAAAACUAAGCAGUAA